UACAUGCAGUCGAGCGAGCCCUUUUGGGCGAGCGGCGGACGGGUGAGUAACACGUGGGCAAUCUGCCUUUCAGACUGGAAUAACACUCGGAAACGGGUGCUAAUGCCGGAUAAUACACGGGUAGGCAUCUACCUGUGUUGAAAGAUGCAACAGCAUCGCUGAGAGAGGAGCCCGCGGCGCAUUAGCUAGUUGGUGGGGUAACGGCUCACCAAGGCGACGAUGCGUAGCCGACCUGAGAGGGUGACCGGCCACACUGGGACUGAGACACGGCCCAGACUCCUACGGGAGGCAGCA
This 294-nucleotide ribosomal RNA is filed under the name Alicyclobacillus acidoterrestris. Its description in RNAcentral is "partial 16S ribosomal RNA". It matches the Rfam family "Bacterial small subunit ribosomal RNA", at positions 52 to 353 of the family's 1533-position model. The record is from RNAcentral. Lineage: Bacteria; Bacillati; Bacillota; Bacilli; Caryophanales; Alicyclobacillaceae.